This is a long non-coding RNA of Mus musculus (house mouse), 7055 nucleotides long. RefSeq annotates it as predicted gene, 41133. NCBI's taxonomy places the organism in Eukaryota, Metazoa, Chordata, Mammalia, Rodentia, Muridae. The record is from RefSeq and is a predicted model, not a curated record. The transcript has 2 exons.
UCUCUCUCUCACACACACACACACACACACACACACACACUUAUGUAUAUACAUGCUUCUUGUCCUGGGUCCAUAGGCCAAAUGAACAGUGACCCAGAUGUACCUGGUGCCUGAAGAAAUCUCAGUUCUAUAGAAACAGACUGUGAAUGGUCUGGCACUGGCCAUGGCUUGGCAGAUCUGUUUCGAAGGUCAGCAGCCUUGAAUAGUAUCAUUGCUUACCAGUCUGCCCUAGGACCUGUUGUCCUUCCUCCUCCAACUGUCUCAACUGUAUGUGUAGUCACAUGCCAGGCUUUAUUGGAAAUGAAGAGAAAAGGAGUUAGAAAAGGUGAUAGAUAACUCUUGAUAUUCACCCAAAUGCUAGGAAUAUGAAUUUUGGUUGUUAUUUAUGUAGAUGAAUAGAGGAUCUGGGACUCAGAGAGUACAUAUCUCAUUAUAACUAAGUAAAUGGCUGGGGCAGAUUUGAAUUGAAGAAUACUUAACAGCAAGUGUACCAAUCCUUUUUUCCUCAUGAACUGCUGAUCUCUGUAGCCAUGAUCAGGUAAACUUUUCCUGGGGUCUCUGAUCCUUUCUAUUUUAGGGACCGGCACAAAGCAACAUUCAGAAAAGGCUUGUUGAAGGGUGAAUGAACGAGCCAUCACAAGAUUUAAGACAAUGUUGAUACAGUGUCCUAAGGAUAAUGAGUAUGGGAAAAUGUCUUUGAUUCUAAACCCAUGGUUUCUUAGCCACAUGGUUAUGGACAUUAAAGUGUUCCUUAUUAAUAAGUGUACCUUAUUAAGGUACACAUAAAAGAACAUGAUAGGUUUAUAGCCAGUCAUUCUCUAGAGUCCUUGAAAACAAGAUGUCACAGAAGGUGAAGAGACAUGAGAUGCAGCAAAGGAAGACUCAGGACCAUUCAGUCACAUCGUGGGCGUCCAUCCUGUGCAUAUUGAGGUCCUACUUUGUGCCGGUUGCUCUUCUCAGCUCCGGAGGGAUAUACAGGAAGGAGACAGACAGGCCCAUAUGCAGCACCAUAGACUAUAUAGCAUGAAUGUGAACUGCUUCCUGGCCUCAUAGAUGGAGGCUUCCUUCUCCUAGGCUUCUUUUGCCUCUAUACUGUUGCCACCCUCCAGGUUUCAGAGCCAUAUGUAAUUAGGGCAGAUCUGCAGACAAAUAUUUAUGGGAGUGGCCAGAUAUUCAGGUGAAGGUCCAAUGAUACUCCUCCAUCCUGCUCCUGCUAGGAGAUAAUGCCAGUUGCCGACAGGCCUCAUUAUUAUUAUUAUUAUUAAUUAUUCCAUUUGUUUAUAUCUCAAAUGAUAUCCCACUUUCCGGUUACGCCCUCUGUUGGGAACCAAAAAGGAGAGCCCAGGGGAUGCCCUGGGGAAGGGGAGACCCACACCCCGCCAGAGUUUUACCUCUUCUCUGGUCUGUCAGGUGUGGGAGGGCUGCUAUCUACCUUCUACUCAUCCCUGGGUGGGCAUCUAAGCCUCUGACCCACUCUUCGGGGGAGGGGGUGGCAAGGGGCAGCCCUACCUGGAAUUCCCAGAGCUACUUUGCUAAAGCCACCGGGGUUAUGGGAGAGAGGGAUGAGGGAAGAGGUUCCCAACACCUGUGAGAGUGAGUGCAGUGGAUCUUGACAGGAGCACAGGAAGGCCUUCUAACGGGAGAUUAGGAGAGAGCCUGUCCCAUCCUCCAAGCACAAUGGGCCUUGAUGAGCAGAGACAUUCAAUGGCUUUAGAGCUUUAUUAUAAAAAGGCAUGGAGAAAAAGAGAGAAGGUAGAAGAGAGAGGAGGGAGAGAGAGAGAGAAAGUUAGAGAGAAAGAAAGAGGGAGAGAGGAGAGGAGAAGACAGAGAGGAGAGAGGGGGUGAGAGUGAGGGGUAAGAGGAAGGCAAGUAAGAGAGCAAACAGGGUCUGAACAGCCCUUUUUAUGGUCUUUUCUGUUGCUAGGUAACUGGGGAGGAGUUUAGCCUAAAGGUCAGAAGGUUGGGCCAUUGCCUAUGUAACUUCUAGCCAUGCUUUUCUUGUGGGGGUUGUGGGGGGUGGUAACUUAGGCAAGGGCCAGAGUUCCAGGAGCAUAAGGGAACGCCUACCAUGUCAUUUAGGUGAAUUAUCACCCUUCGGGGUUCAGACCUCAGCUUGACUGGAGACCAGCCUGUCUGUGCAUAGCCCAAUUCCCCACACCCCUCCACCACUCCUAUCCCACAUCUGCUCUCCCCCCUCCCUUUUGCCUGUAUGAGAGUUCUCCCUCACCCACCCACACUCUCCCGCCCCACUGCUCCAGCAUCCCCCUACUCUGGGGCAUCAAACCUCCCCAGGACUAAGGACCUCCCCCCUGUUGCUAUCAGUGUAGACUAGCAUGAUGUUCUAGUGGAUGUCAGAUCAUAUUUUUAUGGCUGAUGUGGCUCCAAGUCAGAAAAUUGAUCCUCUGCGAAGGUAUAUCCCUGAAGGUUUGUUGUAUCCCUUUUGGUUAGUGUUGUGAUGUGGGAAUGAGAAGUACUGGUGGAUCAAUAACCAUGUCCCAGCUGCUAGGAUCUGUAUUGAUUUGAUAUAAUCGACAGACCACACCAGGAACAGAACCUACAAUGGAAGUCACUACUUAGUUAAGUUUAGGACCAUCCAUUGCCAGUCUCUGUGAAUUAUUAUCUUAUGCAUCUGCCAAAGCAGAAGUUACAGAGGGCUCUGACUGUGGGCAUCUGCUUUUCACCAAAUAGUUAAUGACAGGGUUGUUUUCUCAGAUUCCCCCAGGGACAGAGUGGCACUUUGUUGUGUUACUUUUGUAGGAAGAGAGGUGUGCUUUCUGUUUGCCCUUUCUGCUGUCUUCCCUCUGAUUAGAGAGCCACUUGGGAAUCUUGAAUCAUUGCUGAGGAUAUCCAUUCCUAAACACACUUAGGAAACAUGAGUCACCAUUGAGAAGGUAUGAGGGCCCACCAUACACAUUAUACUGCUGGUGGUGGUCAAAACUGUGCUCCACGCUUGGCCUCUGUGAUGUGUUGACUGAGAAACAUCUCUAGUAGGCUCAGGGAUUUGAAAAUAUGGUUCAUAGUGAUGGGACUGUUUGGGGGAGGUUUGGGGGGUGAGACCUUGCUGGAGGAAGCAUGUCACUGGAGAUGGGCUUUGAGCCUCAUAGCUCUUUCAACGUGUGCUCCUUUCUUUCCGUUUGUAUUCUAGGGUGUGAGCUCUCAGCUUCCUGAUCUGGGCACCAUGACUACCACUUGCUGCUAUGCCCCCUGAUACAAUGGAUUCAUCCUGUCAGGAAUCAUAAGCCCAAAUAAACUUCUUCUUAUAUAAGUGGCCUUGGUCAUGUUUUUGUCACAGCAACAGAAAAGUUAUAGACACAGCAACCUCCAUUAACCCCUACCUGGCCUUGGGCAGACUUUGGUUUUUAGAACUUCAGAUUAGUUAAAAUCCACUAUUUAGUAUGCCCCCUCCAAAUCAUGUGUUUUCUUUCCCCCAGUACAAACUUACCCUUCUAAGCAUCUGAAACAACGUUACUGCUGUAAUAUAACACUCCACAUAGUUUACAAAUCAAAUGUUCUUAGAGUUCUGAGGUUGGAUCCCCUGGAUCACUGUGACAUCAGGCUGGAUGCCUGGGGAAAGCACACUUCCUGGCCAGUGAGAGGCAUUUUCUUACUGAAUGUUUUCAUUGGGAAAUCCCAAAGAAACGCUCUCGGGCUUCUUUUAUAAGAGUGCUGGUCCUAAAUAGACUCUGGCCUCAUAGUCAGUUGCCAAAAUUCCUGUGCAAGAUACUAUAAAGUAUCAGAGAUAGCUUGCAGUUUUGGAGUCUUGAGCCUAGGGUAAGGCAGCAUGUUAUGUUGGGAAUGCAUGUCAGAGCAAGACCUGUUACUUCAUUACUAGGAAGCUGCAACAAGAAGACUGGGGGUGGGGUAGGGUAGGGGCAGGUUCCCUCUUGCCACUUGCCAUUUAUUUUUCAUGUAUGUUCUUCUAUUUGUGUCUGAGUAAGUUUAUGUGCAUCAUGGAGCCUAUGAAGGAAAAACAGUGCUGGAUUCCCUUGGAGCUUGCGUUAUUGUUAGCUGUGAGCUAACUGAUAUGGUAGGUAGUUAAGAACUGACCCUGGCUUUUCUACAGGAAUAGUAACUGCAGAGCUCUCUUCCAAGUCCCCUAUUCCUUUGUGAUGGCAGGCAUGCCCAUUAACUUUUCUCAAGGUAUCACCUCUCAAAGUCCCUACCUUCUCAGUGCUACUACACUGGGAUAUGCCCCCAUUUUGUGGCUUCGAUAAGGCCUUUCUACUCACCUCUAGUCACACAAGUUAAGUGAGUGCUUUUUGGGUCAUCUGUCUACUUUUGUUUUUUGGGUCUCAAAGUCAGUUACCAUCAGCAAGCUCAUCCUGUGGGUGACAGUCUUAUGACAACUCCAUCAGCUCUGCUGGUUUUUCUGGACAUGGGGCUCACUAUACCUGAUACUAGGAUGGUUUCAUCUGGCCUUCAAAAAUCCUCCUCUGCUGAAGUCUGGGGACAGUUGCAAUUGCCCUUGACUGUCCCUUCAACCUGUUGAGACUCACUAUUAAAAUGCUUUUAUACCUCUCACCUCUGUCUCUCAACACUUGCUAAAGACAAUGACCUUCAGGAGUAUAGUGUGUUAGUGGGGUGCAGUAACCAUGGUGAACGCAAGCAUUCCUUUCAUCUUUGAACCUUUUCUUUUAUAUUACAUCAAAGAGAUGCUGACAUUUCAACCUUGUCUAGGAUUGAUCACUGUUGAGUCUAGAGUCUAGAGCUAUUUGCUAAAUAAAUAGCUCAGUAAACAAUUCAAAACGUUCCCAGCAGCUGGAGCUAGAACACUGGUUUAGCACUGUGGCAUGUACUAACCAGCUAACUCAGACUUUCCCUUCCCCUCUUGCUGCAGUCUCUCAGGGUCCAUGUCUAUACAUCCAUUCCUAAAAUUAAUUACCCAAGUUCGGCUCUCCUACUUGAGUGAAUAAUCCUUACUCUCCAAAGUUAAAGUUUGAAUUGUUCCUCUGAGAGAUGCUGGGAUAAGACUCUACUUAGAGACUUGGAGUUCUGUUAGUUCAAAGUGAUAUUUUGAAAAUGAAAUAUAUGAAAAUACUUCCUACACCUAAUUCCACACACCCCAAUUUUUCUUUAAGAUUUUUAUUGAAUUCAAGGUGAAGAUCAAAAUCUUGAACUUAUUAGCUUUCAGAGUCCAUGCACUGUCCAACAUAUUCCUUGACUUUGUUUCUCUCUCUCUCUCUCUCUCUCUCUCUCUCUCUCUCUCUCUCUCUCUCUCUCUCUCCCUCUCUCUCUCACACACACAAACAAACACACACCCUCAACUUCUUGCAGUUCACUUUUCAAAAAUCAAUAUAACCUUCGCUCCUUCAUCUGAGCUCCCAUCCCUGUCAUCAUGAUCUAGUCCCUCAGCAUCCUGUUUGCCCUCCAUCACCUUGACUUUGAUUUAUAAUCAAACAGGCAGUAUUCUAACUACCCGAUGGAAGAUUUUUCACCUUUGAUAACAAGCAGGCCCCAAGAAAGUAGGCACCAUGUUGUGCUUGCUUGAUGCUGAAAUUCAAGUGCUCAGCACACCCUUGCUUGUUGUGUGUGUACCUGUGUGUGUCAUGUCGGUGCAUAUGCCUAUCGAGGCUUGGGGUGUGGCAUCAGAUGUCUUCCUCAGUAGCUCCUUCGCCUUAUGUUUAGAGACUGGAUCUCCCUCUGAUCCUAGAGCUCACAGAUGGGCUCUGCCUUCCCAGCUCUGCAGUUUCAGAUGCACAAUGCUGUACCUGGCUCUCUCUCUUUUUUUUCUUCACACGGGUGCUUGGUAUCUGAAUGCAGGUUUUCAUGCUUUUGUAGCAGGCACUCUACUAAUGGAACCAUCUUGCCAGCCUAAUAUUGUGGCUAAUUGUGGAAGAUACCCUUAAUGAUUCUAGGGGCCUUCAGAGAUGGCUUCCUGGAAGAGAAAGAUUGACCUGGGAGAUGAUGGAGUUGCUUGUUCUGUGGGUGUUUAAGAGUUAGCUGUCUGGGGGUGGGGGGCGUUGGUCUAGAUCCUAUUCUGAGCAUGAUAUUUGUGCUGGAUAGCUUGUGUCAAGUUAACAUACUUGACACAAGCUAAUGUCAUCUGAGAGAGGGAACGUCAAUUAAGAAAAUACCUCCACAAGAUCAGACUGUAGACAGGCCUGCCUGUAAUGCAUUUUCUUAAUUAGCAAUUGGUGGAGGAGGCCCCAGCCCAUUGUGGAUAUUGCUAUCCCUGGGCUGCUGGUCCUGGGUACUAUAAGAAAGCAGUCUGAACAUGCCGGGAGAAGUAAGCCAUUAAGCAGCACUCCUGCAUGGCCUCUGCAUCAGCUCCUGUGGCCUGAUUCCAACCCUCAAUAAAGGACUAUGAUCUGGAAGUGUAAUUCAAAUAAACCCUUUCCUCCCCAACUUGCCUUUUGUUUCAACAUAGAAACAGCAACCCUAACUAAGUCAAGUCGGUACCAAGUGUGUGAGAUAUUGCUGUGACACACCUGACCAUAUUGUUUUGGGGAGGACUGUGGAAGGACUUUGUAUGUUUUUUUGUUUUUUUUUCUUUUGGAAAAGCCAUUGAGUAUUCAAUGAGUAUUGGUGAGCUGUUCUGUAGGAGUAUGGAAGAGUGUUGGGGCAAUGUAGAAGACUGGUUUGUAGACUUUCAGAGGAAAGUGUAAAGAUUCUAUCAGGGUCGUUUGUUAUAUUGAAUGAAAGAUUCAGUAGUUCUGGUUAGCUGGGGCUGAAGAAUCAGCUGUGAUUAACAAGAUACCAGAACUACUAAAGUGAAACCUUUGCUUUCCUGGGAUACUCCAUGCUGGUUGGUUGAGAAAUUAGCAGGGAUUGCGACGUGAUCAGCAUAUAUCACUGGGGUGAAAUCAUCUAGGAACUAUUUCUUGAGAGCACACAGAAGCUGUGUUCCAGAGGUGGCCAAGGUUGUACCUUGAGCUGGUAGCUGUACUUGGUAGUGUAGAAGUCACCCAAGGUGGUACUUGUUUUGAAAGCUUGAAGGGCUCAUGGAGAACAGCUGAGACUUGGCACUGGGAGAGGCCAUUGGCAAUGGUGCAGCCUCAGUGGCAGUUGAAAGCCAAGGAUGCAAGGAAUUAUGCUGAAAAAUUGAGGCUUGGGAC